This 64-nucleotide ribosomal RNA is filed under the name uncultured organism. RNAcentral's name for it is "partial 16S ribosomal RNA". The record is from RNAcentral.
AGGCCUUGACAUGGGGAGUUUGGUUUCCAGAGAUGGAUUCCUUCAGUUUGGCUGGCUCCCACAC